Molecule: long non-coding RNA, 364 nt
Filed under: Numida meleagris (helmeted guineafowl)
Lineage: Eukaryota; Metazoa; Chordata; Aves; Galliformes; Numididae
Description: lncRNA (ENSNMEG00000009617.1)
Source: RNAcentral
AACAUGGCUGCAUUUCUUCCAACAUCCAAGCUCAUAUUUCAUGUCUUCAGCACCAUGUAAACACCGCAGCACAUUUGGAGCCCACUCAGGUAUUUCUGCUGAACCACCACGGUGUGGCUUUGCAAGAUAUAUGUGCUUCAUAUGCUUUAUGGGAUGAGGCUUGUUCUCAGCUCUGCAAAAAUGCUCUUUUCCACUGUGAGUGUUUCAGCUCCCUCUUAAAGAAGAGCAGCAAAUUCUCAACAGGACAGACAACGUACAGCUCUAACUUCAUUGAAAAAGUGACGGAGGUACUGAGCACGUAGCCACAUUCAGGUCUCAUUCUGCUUCACCACCCAUCCCCACUUGGCCAAGCUGCUUCGUGCCU